GGGUAUCCCUGAGGGUAUAUUUCUCUGAGUAUCGUUUCAACACAAUCUCGUCUGCGUACUUCUGGAAACGGAAGCAUGCAUGACGGUGAAUGAGCUGUCUCGGCGUAAGUCGAGUCGCUUGAAACGAAGCAUUUUGCAGUCGACUACGUUCUAUCCUAACCGAUAGGCUAGUUGAUGUUUGAUAAGUGACUUCGGUCAUCUAAUCUAUCACAUCAAUUAGUUAGUAAUCGAAUUUGCGAAUGUACAAGGAACUCCAAAAAGAUUUCGGUCUUUUUGAUCUUGAUCUCAGAUGAAGUAAGAGAACCCGCCGAAUUUAAGCAUAUUAUUAAGCGGAGGAAAAGAAACUAACAAGGAUUCCCCUAGUAACGGCGAGUGAAGCGGGAAGAGCUCAAAGUUAAAAUCGGUGUACCUAGCGGUAUUUCCGAAUUGUAAUCUAGAGACACUCAGUCAGCUUCGACCCGGGUAUAAAUCUUUUGAAACAAGGUGUCAUAGAGGGUGAGAAUCCCGUCUUUGACCCGGAGUUCGUGGCGUACGAU
Molecule: ribosomal RNA, 536 nt
Filed under: Paracercomonas pleomorpha
Lineage: Eukaryota; Cercozoa; Cercomonadida; Cercomonadidae
Description: eukaryotic LSU rRNA
Rfam family: Eukaryotic large subunit ribosomal RNA (bases 281-536)
Source: RNAcentral